Molecule: transfer RNA, 73 nt
Filed under: Curtobacterium sp. MCBD17_003
Lineage: Bacteria; Bacillati; Actinomycetota; Actinomycetes; Micrococcales; Microbacteriaceae
Also listed under: 2 other names
Description: tRNA-Val
Rfam family: tRNA
About the family: Transfer RNA (tRNA) molecules are approximately 80 nucleotides in length.
Source: RNAcentral
GGGCCUUUAGCUCAGUUGGUAGAGCGCCACGUUUACACCGUGGACGUCGUCGGUUCGAGCCCGGCAGGGCCCA